This 299-nucleotide long non-coding RNA is filed under the name Spirodela polyrhiza (greater duckweed). RNAcentral's name for it is "long non-coding RNA (SPOL_LNC001921)". Lineage: Eukaryota; Viridiplantae; Streptophyta; Magnoliopsida; Alismatales; Araceae. The record is from RNAcentral.
AAGGGCCCCAUCGAGAACCUCGCCGACCACAUCGCCGACCCCGUCGCCAACAACGCCUGGGCCUACGCCACCAACUUCGUCCCCGGCAAGUAGACACCUCCCUCCCCCCAUCCUCCUCCUCCUCCACCGCCGCCUCCGCCGGCGAGCUCCUCCCUCUUCGCCGCCUCUCUGUAUCUCCCUCCCCCUCCUCUCCUCUCCUCUCUCCCUGUGUAACAGUAUGAUGAUCCAAAGACGACUUCUUUACCCCCAUGUCUUCAUGCCUCCACCCAUCCGAAGAGGGGAGAGAAAUGUAGAGAGAU